CCUACGGGAGGCAGCAGUGAGGAAUAUUGGUCAAUGGGCGCGAGCCUGAACCAGCCAAGCCGCGUGAAGGAUGACUGCACUGCGGGUUGUAAACUUCUUUUAUCAGGGAAUAAAGUGAGGCACGUGUGCCUUUUUGUAUGUACUUUAUGAAUAAGGAUCGGCUAACUCCGUGCCAGCAGCCGCGGUAAUACGGAGGAUCCGAGCGUUAUCCGGAUUUAUUGGGUUUAAAGGGUGCGUAGAUGGGUUGUUAAGUCAGUUGUGAAAGUUCGCGGCUCAACCGUAAAAUUGCAAUUGAUACUGGCAGGCUUGAGUACAGUUGAGGUAGGCGGAAUUCGUGGUGUAGCGGGGAAAUGCUUAGAUAUCACGAAGAACUCCGAUUGCGAAGGCAGCUUACUAAACUGCCACUGACAUUGAUGCUCGAAAGUGUGGGUAUCAAACAGGAUUAGAUACCCUUGGAGUC
This 460-nucleotide ribosomal RNA is filed under the name uncultured bacterium. RNAcentral's name for it is "partial 16S ribosomal RNA". It matches the Rfam family "Bacterial small subunit ribosomal RNA", at positions 338 to 795 of the family's 1533-position model. The record is from RNAcentral.